This 72-nucleotide transfer RNA is filed under the name Beijerinckiaceae bacterium. It matches the Rfam family "tRNA". Rfam says of the family: Transfer RNA (tRNA) molecules are approximately 80 nucleotides in length. Their secondary structure includes four short double-helical elements and three loops (D, anti-codon, and T loops). Further hydrogen bonds mediate the characteristic L-shaped molecular structure. tRNAs have two regions of fundamental functional importance: the anti-codon, which is responsible for specific mRNA codon recognition, and the 3' end, to which the tRNAs corresponding amino acid is attached (by aminoacyl-tRNA synthetases). tRNAs cope with the degeneracy of the genetic code in two manners: having more than one tRNA (with a specific anti-codon) for a particular amino acid; and 'wobble' base-pairing, i.e. permitting non-standard base-pairing at the 3rd anti-codon position. Lineage: Bacteria; Pseudomonadati; Pseudomonadota; Alphaproteobacteria; Hyphomicrobiales; Beijerinckiaceae. The record is from Rfam by way of RNAcentral.
GACCAGGUGGCAGAAUGGUUAUGCGUCGCCCCAGCAAGGUCGAAGACGCCGGUUCGAUUCCGGCCCCGGUCU